AUACGGAGGGUGCGAGCGUUAAUCGGAAUUACUGGGCGUAAAGCGCGCGUAGGCGGCUAAGUAAGUCGGAUGUGAAAGCCCUGGGCUCAACCUGGGAAUUGCACUCGAUACUGCUUGGCUAGAGUAUGGUAGAGGGUAGUGGAAUUCCUGGUGUAGCGGUGAAAUGCCUAGAUAUCCGGAGGAACAACAGUGGCGAAGGCGGCUUACUGGACUAAUACUACCACUGAAGUACGAAAGCGUGGGGAGCAAACAGGAUUAGAAACCCCGGUAGUCC
RNAcentral lists this ribosomal RNA (274 nucleotides) under uncultured bacterium. Its description in RNAcentral is "partial 16S ribosomal RNA". It matches the Rfam family "Bacterial small subunit ribosomal RNA", at positions 523 to 796 of the family's 1533-position model. The record is from RNAcentral.